AAAAAUUAAAUUAAAAAAUAAAAAUUAUAAAUUUUUCAUGCAUACAUUAUGAUAAUUAUUAUAUUAAAACACUAAUUAAAAAUAAUGAAUACGCAUUUGCUUUGCUGAUAGAACUAAUUCUCUCUAAAAGGAAAAUUGUUCUCUUGAAGUCGUAACAAGAUUACAAAGCUGCUCAAUUCUUUCCACACCUUUUCAAAGGUCACAGCCCCAUGAAACUUAACGUCCUAUAUGCUGCUGCAUUGCUGCCUGUGACCAUAUUGCUGCUACUUGGGAUCCUUCUUUUGGGAAAGCAAUGAGAAUCCUGUUUAGCGUUAAGUUUGCACUCAUCAACAUAGCUUCUGCCGUAGUUUUGAAAUAGUCAGGUCUGCACCUCCAAAACCAUCCAUUACAGCUUUCGCUGAAGGGAACUCAGCUCUAGACGUCAAACUACUCCGGAGGACAACACAGGGCAUGCCAAUUUGCCCAGCUGCAGCCACUCCAGAUUGGCUUCCGGCAACAAGGACACAAUUGUUUACAGAUACUCCAACAUACUCUGCACCAGCACGCAAUGCAGCUACAAUCUUCACUAGGCUUUCAGUUGAGCUAGUAUCAAUCUGAACACUCAACUUUAGAAUUGAUGCAACCUCCUCAGCUAUCUUUUGUUUCUCAGCAGAAACUGCUUUUCUUGCUUCCAAAGCUAGCUGCUCAUCCAAACCAGACAACACUCCACUACUAAGCACAAGUUGUCCAUAUAAACUCUUUUUCACUUCCACAUUACCAAUAAUCUUUAUCUUUGUAGUUUUUUCAUGCCCAAGCUUGUUUACAAUGGAUCUAACAAUUUCAACAAAUUAAAAAAUCUAUAAGCAUGCUCCAUUUUUACCCAAAAAGGAUACAGAAUUGUCACUAAUUGACAGAAAGCUCAAGGAUGCAUGUAUUCACUUAUUUCAGUAUGGAAGAAUGGCGCGUUCCAUUAAGGUUGCCAAAGAACCUACCAAAGCAGCUAUUUUCAGUUCAUAAGUGAAGAAUGAGAUUACGUGAGUCCUUUCAGAGCUAAUCCUGAUACUAGGUUCAAGUCUAUUGAAGUCGAUGCAUGCAGGAUCUUGACUUACUUGAAGUUCUGAUAAUUAUGAAUCAUUAAAACUAAUUCACCAUUCAGAGCAACAUUGAAAAAUAAUCAAUGUCUGAUAACAUUGAUAUUGUAAUGCUUAUAUCUGGUCCAUAAUCAAUCCUUACAAGAAAUAAAUGCUGACAAAACCUCUGCACUGGAAGCACUGUUUCAGAUAAGCUAAAGCCCUGAUUUGACUCAAUCUGUAUGAUGCAGCUGAACCACCACUUUCCUUGAAGUGAUGGAAGAUUAGGUGAAAACACAUAAAAUGAGCCAUAUCAAGUUCUUUUGUGCAAUUGCUUUGUUAACAAGUAAACAGCAAAUGUGCAAUAGAAUAUCAAUUUAAAUAGAAUGAUGUACACAUAUAUCAUACAGUUAAGAUCUGAUGUAAAUAAAAUUUCCAUCUUGCAAUUGUGAUGGAGGAAAUCUUUGUUACAGCCUGAUGUGCUCUUUAUUAACUCUUAAACAACAAUGUGCAACACAAUACCAAUUUUAACAAAAUGAAGUGCGUGGAUAUAUCAUACGGUUAUGAGCUGUUGUAAAUGAAUUUUCUACCUUGUGGUUGUGAUGUAGGAUAUCUUUGCUACUGCAUGAUGUGCUUAAGUUUCCAAUAGGAGGAUAAAAAAAAACAUAAUUUAAGGAGAAGUAGGCUAGUAGUGCUGCUUGAGUAGCAUCUGGGCAAUACAUGUCAUUCCCCCAAUCACAAUACUCAAUAUAUUUUAACACAUUAUAAAAUAUCUUUCCCCAAAAAGUGGCCAUACCUUGCAAUAUUUUCCUCACUUUUACCAUAUGCCGUUAGAAUGACCACAGGUAUUCCUUGAUUAGAUGCAUCAUCAAUAAAACUGCAAACAAAAAUUUUCACAUGCAAACUUAAAACAUUCAUGCUAAGAUAAUUGGAGUAUACGAGUCCAUUGAAUAAUUUCAUCAGUGUUAAAACAAGGCAACCAUUAUUGGACAAAUAAAAGAAAGCCACCAUAUAAUCUUUUGAGCUUGUCUAUAAAUUUCAAAUAUGCCCCUUUCUUGUCACAUUUUACAUACCUCUUAAAAGGUUACCAAGAUCAAUCCUUUCUGCAUACUUUUCCAAAAGACUCAUUGUGUUGAGAAAUAGUUAAUCAGUUUAUCAUCAUAAUUUUUGAAAACCAACUUUUGCAGGCAAAAGUGUUUGUCAAAAUUGAGGCAUGAACCACAAACAUUCAAACCCUACUUGAAUUGUAAGUAAUGCCAAAUAUUCUGUGAAAACUGAAUCUUUAAGAAUUUGUUUGCUGGUACAAAACUAGGAUAAUUUUCUGGAAAAUUUUUCUGAUAAAACAGGAACAUAGAGUUUUGAGUUUUAAAUUAACAUUUUUCUAAACAGAAAAUUGAUUUUUUCCAAAAUUUUAACUGACCCUUGGAAAACAGGUUUAGCAUGUUUACCAUUGUUUUACUUUAAAAUAAAAUACCUGCUUUCCAUUUGGAAAACAUGGAUUUCAAUAUUUCCAAUGGCAAUGACAGUGUUUGCUGAACCUUUGGCUAGGAUUUGAACCCCGGCCUCAUGACUUUCC
This 2625-nucleotide unclassified non-coding RNA is filed under the name Hevea brasiliensis (rubber tree). Lineage: Eukaryota; Viridiplantae; Streptophyta; Magnoliopsida; Malpighiales; Euphorbiaceae. The record is from RNAcentral.